RNAcentral lists this ribosomal RNA (2900 nucleotides) under Klebsiella pneumoniae. Its description in RNAcentral is "bacterial LSU rRNA". It matches the Rfam family "Bacterial large subunit ribosomal RNA". The record is from RNAcentral. Lineage: Bacteria; Pseudomonadati; Pseudomonadota; Gammaproteobacteria; Enterobacterales; Enterobacteriaceae.
UUAAGCGACUAAGCGUACACGGUGGAUGCCCUGGCAGUCAGAGGCGAUGAAGGACGUGCUAAUCUGCGAAAAGCGUCGGUAAGGUGAUAUGAACCGUUAUAACCGGCGAUGUCCGAAUGGGGAAACCCAGUGUGAUUCGUCACACUAUCGUUAACUGAAUACAUAGGUUAACGAGGCGAACCGGGGGAACUGAAACAUCUAAGUACCCCGAGGAAAAGAAAUCAACCGAGAUUCCCCCAGUAGCGGCGAGCGAACGGGGAGCAGCCCAGAGUCUGAAUCAGCUUGUGUGUUAGUGGAACGGUCUGGAAAGUCCGACGGUACAGGGUGAUAGUCCCGUACACCAAAAUGCACAGGUUGUGAACUCGAAGAGUAGGGCGGGACACGUGGUAUCCUGUCUGAAUAUGGGGGGACCAUCCUCCAAGGCUAAAUACUCCUGACUGACCGAUAGUGAACCAGUACCGUGAGGGAAAGGCGAAAAGAACCCCGGCGAGGGGAGUGAAAAAGAACCUGAAACCGUGUACGUACAAGCAGUGGGAGCACCUUCGGGUGUGACUGCGUACCUUUUGUAUAAUGGGUCAGCGACUUAUAUUCUGUAGCAAGGUUAACCGUAUAGGGGAGCCGCAGGGAAACCGAGUCUUAACUGGGCGUUAAGUUGCAGGGUAUAGACCCGAAACCCGGUGAUCUAGCCAUGGGCAGGUUGAAGGUUGGGUAACACUAACUGGAGGACCGAACCGACUAAUGUUGAAAAAUUAGCGGAUGACUUGUGGCUGGGGGUGAAAGGCCAAUCAAACCGGGAGAUAGCUGGUUCUCCCCGAAAGCUAUUUAGGUAGCGCCUCGUGAACUCAUCUUCGGGGGUAGAGCACUGUUUCGGCUAGGGGGUCAUCCCGACUUACCAACCCGAUGCAAACUACGAAUACCGAAGAAUGUUAUCACGGGAGACACACGGCGGGUGCUAACGUCCGUCGUGAAGAGGGAAACAACCCAGACCGCCAGCUAAGGUCCCAAAGUCAUGGUUAAGUGGGAAACGAUGUGGGAAGGCACAGACAGCCAGGAUGUUGGCUUAGAAGCAGCCAUCAUUUAAAGAAAGCGUAAUAGCUCACUGGUCGAGUCGGCCUGCGCGGAAGAUGUAACGGGGCUAAACCAUGCACCGAAGCUGCGGCAGCGACACUAUGUGUUGUUGGGUAGGGGAGCGUUCUGUAAGCCUGCGAAGGUGACCUGUGAGGGUUGCUGGAGGUAUCAGAAGUGCGAAUGCUGACAUAAGUAACGAUAAAGCGGGUGAAAAGCCCGCUCGCCGGAAGACCAAGGGUUCCUGUCCAACGUUAAUCGGGGCAGGGUGAGUCGACCCCUAAGGCGAGGCCGAAAGGCGUAGUCGAUGGGAAACAGGUUAAUAUUCCUGUACUUGGUGUUACUGCGAAGGGGGGACGGAGAAGGCUAUGUUAGCCGGGCGACGGUUGUCCCGGUUUAAGCAUGUAGGCUGGUUAUCCAGGCAAAUCCGGAUAAUCAAGGCUGAGGUGUGAUGACGAGGCACUACGGUGCUGAAGUAACAAAUGCCCUGCUUCCAGGAAAAGCCUCUAAGCAUCAGGUAACAUCAAAUCGUACCCCAAACCGACACAGGUGGUCAGGUAGAGAAUACCAAGGCGCUUGAGAGAACUCGGGUGAAGGAACUAGGCAAAAUGGUGCCGUAACUUCGGGAGAAGGCACGCUGGUGUGUAGGUGAAGCCCCUGCGGGUGGAGCUGAGACCAGUCGAAGAUACCAGCUGGCUGCAACUGUUUAUUAAAAACACAGCACUGUGCAAACACGAAAGUGGACGUAUACGGUGUGACGCCUGCCCGGUGCCGGAAGGUUAAUUGAUGGGGUUAUCCGUAAGGAGAAGCUCUUGAUCGAAGCCCCGGUAAACGGCGGCCGUAACUAUAACGGUCCUAAGGUAGCGAAAUUCCUUGUCGGGUAAGUUCCGACCUGCACGAAUGGCGUAAUGAUGGCCAGGCUGUCUCCACCCGAGACUCAGUGAAAUUGAACUCGCUGUGAAGAUGCAGUGUACCCGCGGCAAGACGGAAAGACCCCGUGAACCUUUACUAUAGCUUGACACUGAACAUUGAGCCUUGAUGUGUAGGAUAGGUGGGAGGCUUUGAAGCGUGGACGCCAGUCUGCGUGGAGCCAACCUUGAAAUACCACCCUUUAAUGUUUGAUGUUCUAACGUUGGCCCCUGACCGGGGUUGCGGACAGUGUCUGGUGGGUAGUUUGACUGGGGCGGUCUCCUCCCAAAGCGUAACGGAGGAGCACGAAGGUUAGCUAAUCCUGGUCGGACAUCAGGAGGUUAGUGCAAUGGCAUAAGCUAGCUUGACUGCGAGCGUGACGGCGCGAGCAGGUGCGAAAGCAGGUCAUAGUGAUCCGGUGGUUCUGAAUGGAAGGGCCAUCGCUCAACGGAUAAAAGGUACUCCGGGGAUAACAGGCUGAUACCGCCCAAGAGUUCAUAUCGACGGCGGUGUUUGGCACCUCGAUGUCGGCUCAUCACAUCCUGGGGCUGAAGUAGGUCCCAAGGGUAUGGCUGUUCGCCAUUUAAAGUGGUACGCGAGCUGGGUUUAGAACGUCGUGAGACAGUUCGGUCCCUAUCUGCCGUGGGCGCUGGAGAAUUGAGGGGGGCUGCUCCUAGUACGAGAGGACCGGAGUGGACGCAUCACUGGUGUUCGGGUUGUCAUGCCAAUGGCACUGCCCGGUAGCUAAAUGCGGAAGAGAUAAGUGCUGAAAGCAUCUAAGCACGAAACUUGCCCCGAGAUGAGUUCUCCCUGAGACUUUAAGUCUCCUGAAGGAACGUUGAAGACGACGACGUUGAUAGGCCGGGUGUGUAAGCGCAGCGAUGCGUUGAGCUAACCGGUACUAAUGAACCGUGAGGCUUAACCUU